This 323-nucleotide unclassified non-coding RNA is filed under the name uncultured fungus. RNAcentral's name for it is "sequence contains ITS1". The record is from RNAcentral. Lineage: Eukaryota; Fungi.
GCCGAAGGUCUCGCCGGCCUUCACCGGGCGCCCGCCGAUCUCCUCGAUCAUGCACACGUAGCCGCGCUGGUGGCACCACGCCUCGUACACGAUCCCGGGGUCGAGCGUCAUCCCCGCGAGCCACGGCCCGUCUUUCCCCGUUUUCGGGUCGCGGAUGUGGUACGCGCGGAUGAUCCGCUUGGGGAUCUGCUUGUCGUCGCGCGUGUAGAGGAACUUCUCGUCGGGUGCGAAGUCCUUCUCGAAAGCCUUCGACUCGAUCUUGCCGUGGUAGCUCAGGUACACCUCGCUGAACGUGUCGCCGUUCUUGUGCUUGAUGUGUCCGG